Long non-coding RNA from Stegostoma tigrinum, 1690 nucleotides. RefSeq lists it as uncharacterized. The record is from RefSeq and is a predicted model, not a curated record. The transcript has 6 exons. Lineage: Eukaryota; Metazoa; Chordata; Chondrichthyes; Orectolobiformes; Stegostomatidae.
UCCACACAACCGAGAGGAGCGCAUGCGUGAUGCCAUCCCCCAGCGCUGCCAUUGAGGGCCGUCAUUGAGUGGAAGAGAUUUGUUUGAAACAGGCCGCAAUGGAGAGACCAGCGCCCAGGGAAGCGAGGGAACAGCAGGCUCCUUCCAGCAGCGCAUCGAGAUGAGAUGUGGCUUCUGCCUUCCUCCGGGCAAAUACUUGAAGGACCAGGAUGAUGUUGUAUUUGAGAUAAUGGGAACUGCAGAUGCUGGAGAAUUCCAAGAUAAUAAAAUGUGAGGCUGGAUGAACACAGCAGGCCAAGCAGCAUCUCAGGAGCACAAAAGCUGACGUUUCGAGCGUAGACCCUUCAUCAAAGAGGAUGUUGUAUUUCCUCGGUACAAAGCCAAGUCUGACCAGUUGCUUCUAACAAUCAGCAGGCCAAUACUUGAAGGACCAGGACAAUUUAGUGUUUCCUCAGUACAAAGCCAAUUGUGACCAGCAUCUUACAACAACCACCAGGGUGUGGCCAGCUCUGCCAAGGUGGCAAGGGGAUGCCAAUCUCAAAAUGUCCUUGAAUAGAUCAACAUGCUCGACCUGAAGGUAAUGAGGAGUUUGCAAAGGGUUAAGAGUCACGUGCAGAGCAGAUCAGAUUUUGAAAUGUGCCAUUCUUGCCGUCUACUCCUGAUUGAUGCGAGACGAAAAACUUCAAACAGAAUCUGUUCGUUUUCCAGGUGCAGUCCUGCCAAGUGAAUAUCAUCAAAGAUUCCCAGCUUCCCAAAGUGGAUUUGAACCCGGGUCCCCAGAACAUCACUGGAACAUCUGGAUUAACAGUUCCGCGAUAAUCCCAUGAGGCCAUCGCUUCCCCAUUCAAAGGUCAAGCCUGCCACUCUGGAGGUGUGUGAUCCCCCAUCCUGACAAUGUGGCGUUUCCAAAAUACCUGCAGCGGAGAGAAACCCCCACGUUCCCGUUCCCACAAUGGGUUCUGGAAUCUCAGAAAACCGAGUUGAAGUGUCCAGCAGGGAUUUCGGAUCAUUGGGAGAUCUAGUCUUCUCCGUACAGACUCCAUUUCAGCCAUGCCUUUUCUAUCCAGUUUGUUCAGUGGCUUGCAGCUCAGUGUGUGUUCCUUCUGUGGGGCCAGAAGUUGCUCGGUCCAACCCCACACCCCAGGUCUCUUUCGCCCUGGAAUGUAACCAUUGAAAUUGGCUGGUUUCUGUUUUUGUUUAUAUCUCCCAACUGUCAGAUCCUUCUGACUAUUCCUGUUCAAAGUUGGUCUGUUCCAUGCGCAGAAGGUGGCAGACGAUGUCUUCCUCCCCUUAAACAUGGACCAACUGAAAAGCUCAAUCCUCAGACAUGUACAUGAGAGAGAAGGAGGGACAGGUAUUAAAUUUCCAAAGACCACCAGCUGCUAAAAUAGUUUUGAUUUUACAAAACUAACGGCCUGCAAUGUCCAGAACAGACCAACAGAUGCAACAACAUGAAAUUAGCUUCCCCGGCUGAAAAUGAGUGGAGUCAAACAACGUGUGAAACAUGGUUUCCAUCGCAAAGUUCACAAGUUUGGGAUCUGUACACAGGAGUUACAUUGUACCUCUUCACCAGACAGUCUAUAAAAAUCGAAUGACCCACCUCUCAUCUGUCUUCUUCUUUCUUACUUGUGUGGAAUAUUCUCGUAAACAUUUCCACCCGCUCUGUCUUCUUCCUCUGAGAGCUCGCUGA